GACGAACGCUGGCGGCGUGCCUAAUACAUGCAAGUAGAACGCUGAAGGAGGAGCUUGCUCUUCUGGAUGAGUUGCGAACGGGUGAGUAACGCGUAGGUAACCUGCCUGGUAGCGGGGGAUAACUAUUGGAAACGAUAGCUAAUACCGCAUAACAGUAGAUGUUGCAUGACAUUUGCUUAAAAGGUGCAAUUGCACCACUACCAGAUGGACCUGCGUUGUAUUAGCUAGUUGGUGGGGUAACGGCUCACCAAGGCGACGAUACAUAGCCGACCGGAGAGGGUGGUCGGCCACACUGGGACUGAGACACGGCCCAGACUCCUACAGGAGGCAGCAGGAGGGAAUCGUCGGCAAUGGACGGAAGUCUGAGCGAGCAACGCCGCGGGAGUGAAGAAGGGUGUCGGAUCGGAAAGCUCUGUUGUAAGAGAAGAACGAGUGUGAGAGUGGAAAGUUCACACUGUGACGGUAACUGACCAGAAAGGGACGGCUAACUACGUG
RNAcentral lists this ribosomal RNA (495 nucleotides) under uncultured bacterium. RNAcentral describes it as "partial 16S ribosomal RNA". It matches the Rfam family "Bacterial small subunit ribosomal RNA", at positions 28 to 507 of the family's 1533-position model. The record is from RNAcentral.